This 1033-nucleotide ribosomal RNA is filed under the name Tryblidiopsis pinastri. Its description in RNAcentral is "SSU rRNA". It matches the Rfam family "Eukaryotic small subunit ribosomal RNA", at positions 74 to 1115 of the family's 1831-position model. The record is from RNAcentral. Lineage: Eukaryota; Fungi; Ascomycota; Leotiomycetes; Rhytismatales; Rhytismataceae.
CUAUACCGUGAAACUGCGAAUGGCUCAUUAAAUCAGUUAUCGUUUAUUUGAUAGUACCUUACUACAUGGAUAACCGUGGUAAUUCUAGAGCUAAUACAUGCUAAAAACCCCGACUUCGGAAGGGGUGUAUUUAUUAGAUAAAAAACCAAUGCCCUUCGGGGCUCCUUGGUGAUUCAUAAUAACUUAACGAAUCGCAUGGCCUUGCGCCGGCGAUGGUUCAUUCAAAUUUCUGCCCUAUCAACUUUCGAUGGUAGGAUAGUGGCCUACCAUGGUGUCAACGGGUAACGGGGUAUUAGGGUACGAUACCGGAGAGGGAGCCUGAGAAACGGCUACCACAUCCAAGGAAGGCAGCAGGCGCGCAAAUUACCCAAUCCCGACACGGGGAGGUAGUGACAAUAAAUACUGAUACAGGGCUCUUUCGGGUCUUGUAAUUGGAAUGAGUACAAUUUAAAUCCCUUAACGAGGAACAAUUGGAGGGCAAGUCUGGUGCCAGCAGCCGCGGUAAUUCCAGCUCCAAUAGCGUAUAUUAAAGUUGUUGCAGUUAAAAAGCUCGUAGUUGAACCUUGGGCCUGGUUGGCCGGUCCGCCUCACCGCGUGCACUGGUCCGACCGGGCCUUUCCUCCUGGGGAGCCGCAUGCCCUUCAUUGGGUGUGUCGGGGAACCAGGACUUUUACUUUGAAAAAAUUAGAGUGUUCAAAGCAGGCCUAUGCUCGAAUACAUUAGCAUGGAAUAAUAGAAUAGGACGUGUGGUUCUAUUUUGUUGGUUUCUAGGACCGCCGUAAUGAUUAAUAGGGAUAGUCGGGGGCGUCAGUAUUGCGUUGUCAGAGGUGAAAUUCUUGGAUUUACGCAAGACUAACUACUGCGAAAGCAUUCGCCAAGGAUGUUUUCAUUAAUCAGUGAACGAAAGUUAGGGGAUCGAAGACGAUCAGAUACCGUCGUAGUCUUAACCAUAAACUAUGCCGACUAGGGAUCGGGCGAUGUUAUCUUUUUGACUCGCUCGGCACCUUACGAGAAAUCAAAGUCUUUGGGUUCU